RNAcentral lists this ribosomal RNA (484 nucleotides) under uncultured bacterium. RNAcentral's name for it is "partial 16S ribosomal RNA". It matches the Rfam family "Bacterial small subunit ribosomal RNA", at positions 38 to 507 of the family's 1533-position model. The record is from RNAcentral.
GGGGGGGGGGGGGGGGGGGGGGGGGGGGGGGGGGGCGGGGGGGUGAGGGGGGCGUGCGCCGGGAUUCAGCGGCGGACGGGGGAGUAAUGCCUAGGAAUCUGCCUGGUAGUGGGGGAUAACGUCCGGAAACGGGCGCUAAUACCGCAUACGUCCUGAGGGAGAAAGUGGGGGAUCUUCGGACCUCACGCUAUCAGAUGAGCCUAGGUCGGAUUAGCUAGUUGGUGGGGUAAAGGCCUACCAAGGCGACGAUCCGUAACUGGUCUGAGAGGAUGAUCAGUCACACUGGAACUGAGACACGGUCCAGACUCCUACGGGAGGCAGCAGUGGGGAAUAUUGGACAAUGGGCGAAAGCCUGAUCCAGCCAUGCCGCGUGUGUGAAGAAGGUCUUCGGAUUGUAAAGCACUUUAAGUUGGGAGGAAGGGCAGUAAGUUAAUACCUUGCUGUUUUGACGUUACCAACAGAAUAAGCACCGGCUAACUUCGUG